UCAGUCUUUUAAAAAUUAAAAAAAAAAAAAUCCAAUAAUUCACAAAAGAAAGAAAGAAAGAAAUCUGUAAUUAUAAAUAUGAAUUCUCUUUUACUCACCAUUAAAAUUCAGACAUGAAAGCUCAAAACCAUACGCCAUUACAUUGUGGAAGUACGUACACGAGAUCUAAUUGAGUCUUCGUGAUUUCCCGGCCAAGAUCAUGACCAUACCAUUUGCUCAAUCCGGCACGAGUCCUCCACAUCUGCUGCAUUCAUCUGGCCAUCUAUGGCAAAUCUAUACUUCUUUGAAUGGGAUGAAGAAGAGUUGGAGUAAUACACUCCAUCAUUAUAAUCAAAGCAAGUAGAAGUGUUCGGGUAGGAUGGAGAAUUCAUUGGCUUUCGCAGCUCACGAAAAGCACACCUCUUGAUCGUGAUAUUGGGGUGUACGGAUCCCAAGAACAAAGAUUGCCGACACUUGUAAGAACAUAAAGAGGGAUGGUGGAGAAAUUAUUCUUCUGAAGUUCUGAGUCUAUUACUCGGAUUAUGAAGUUAUUGUAAAAUUGAUUAUCCGUACGUGUUUUGUUGUUCUCACAUGACAGCUUAUAUCUGGAGCACAGUGAUGACUAUCCUUGAUACUGCAAGUUUGAUGGACCAUCGACAAUAAGAACAAUGAGGGCAGUGAGUGCUGCAGAGAAGGGCAUUCCUCUGUCCCUUGACAGAGAGAUCGAUCAGACAGAGAGAGAUGGGUAUAGCUUCCAAAGCUGUUGACAAACAUAUUAUAAGUGAAUGUUAGAGAGUACCAAGAGCAUUUUGCCGAUAGCCCAAGUGCUAUAGAACUUUUCCUGAGCUUUACUGAUCAUUGACCAAGAUAACAUUGUCUGCACAUUUACAGUACUCGGCCUCCUUUCCCUGCUACGCCUAAACUGAUGGCUGUAUAUCCCAUGACCCAUUUAAGCUCCGUGAGAUGUUUGUGACUUUGAAUCUUCUUUAUGAUCGAAAUUGUUGCGUAGAAGAUGAGAAAAAGCCGAGUAAAGUGGUAGGCUAGUUUGAUAUACUUCAAUGAAGGUUCAGUAACAAGGCCCCAGUGGUGAGGGGGACGGCCAGAAUCUGUGUUAUUUACCCAGUUUCAAUAAUAUAGUAGAAGCUGCAGAGUUUCGAUGGCAGAAAGAUAUUUCACUCCAUCGGCUGUAAUUUUUUGGAUGAAAUGGAAAAGAUAGAUGGCAGAAAUGUAAUUAGCAAUGACAGAAAGAUAGAUGAACAUAAAUAAAUAAAUGAAGUAAGCAUUAUUGCCAUGUUAUAGCACCCAUCCUUUUAAGUUUUUUAGUAGUUGUUGAUGAGUAUUAUCUUCUUAACUGUGCUGAAUUGGUUUCUUCUUUGACGCAUGCACAUUUGAAGAGCGUGGAUGAGGAGUGAACAGAAAUUAACUUUGGAGUGAGAGAUGUACUGAUACCAGAGUAUUUGAAUGCUUGUUGGGAAUCAAGUGUGAAGUUCUUGCCUUUGAUAAUAAUUUCAAACAACUCCGAUUAUAACUUUACUAAUCCUUUUCGGGUAUUGAUCUAAA
Molecule: long non-coding RNA, 1539 nt
Organism: Carya illinoinensis
Lineage: Eukaryota; Viridiplantae; Streptophyta; Magnoliopsida; Fagales; Juglandaceae
Exons: 2
Source: RefSeq, a predicted model, not a curated record